Long non-coding RNA from Bubalus bubalis (water buffalo), 652 nucleotides. RefSeq lists it as uncharacterized. NCBI's taxonomy places the organism in Eukaryota, Metazoa, Chordata, Mammalia, Artiodactyla, Bovidae. The record is from RefSeq and is a predicted model, not a curated record. The transcript is spliced from 3 exons.
UAAUGCAAUACGUAGAUAUCCCCUCUGUUCUCUUACAGACAGUCUGAUAUAGAUGCACAGAUUGGUGAGCGCAUUGUGACUUGACCUGAAUGGAGCAUGGACCUUCACGCUCGGGUGCUUUGGAACCAUGGCCAGAUGCACAGCUUGGAUUAUCUGAUAUCCUCCUAUGCUGCUGGCAAUUGGUGAAGAAUCAACGUGUUCCUCACCAAGCGAACAAAAACAAGCCUUCUCCAACUCGAAUGCUUUCCUCCUGUCUGCCUGAGCCCGGUAAGGAGUCUCUUCAUCCUUCAGGACUCAGUCACUGCCUCCAGGACACUUUUCCUGACCUUGCCCUCCAGGCUGGGUUAAAUGUCCUCUCAGUCAUUACUUGUGCAUAGCCUAGCCCUGUGCCACAACAUCGCUUUAUACCACUCAUCCCUCCUAUGCCUGUGGCUAUGAUUCCUUGUAUUUAAACCCUAUAACAAAUGUCUGGCACCCAGUUAUAAUUCAAAAAAUGUUUUUAAUUAAUGAAUUAGUACAAAGGAAAGCUAUGACAAACCUCAACAACGUAUUAUAAGGCAGAGACGUCACUUUCCCAAUAGAGGUCCGUAUGGUCAAAGCUAUGGUUUUUCCAGUAGUCAUGUAUGGAUGUGAGAGUUGGAUCAUACAGAAA